GGCGUGGACGCACAAUCCGGUUGUGCACUGGCCUGAACAGUCAGCGAGAUACCCAUCUCAUGCGGGUUCAAAUCCCGCCCACGCCG
This 86-nucleotide transfer RNA is filed under the name Candidatus Woesearchaeota archaeon. RNAcentral describes it as "tRNA-Phe". It matches the Rfam family "tRNA". Rfam says of the family: Transfer RNA (tRNA) molecules are approximately 80 nucleotides in length. Their secondary structure includes four short double-helical elements and three loops (D, anti-codon, and T loops). Lineage: Archaea; Nanobdellati; Candidatus Woesearchaeota. The record is from RNAcentral.